This 468-nucleotide ribosomal RNA is filed under the name uncultured bacterium. RNAcentral's name for it is "partial 16S ribosomal RNA". It matches the Rfam family "Bacterial small subunit ribosomal RNA", at positions 28 to 507 of the family's 1533-position model. The record is from RNAcentral.
GAUGAACGCUGGCGGCGUGCUUAACACAUGCAAGUCGAACGGUGAAGGCGGAGCUUGCUCUGCUGGAUCAGUGGCGAACGGGUGAGUAACACGUGAGCAAUCUGCCCCUGACUCUGGGAUAAGCGCUGGAAACGGCGUCUAAUACUGGAUACGAGCUGCGAAGGCAUCUUCAGCAGCUGGAAAGAACUUCGGUAAGGGAUGAGCUCGCGGCCUAUCAGCUUGUUGGUGAGGUAACGGCUCACCAAGGCGUCGACGGCUAGCCGGCCUGAGAGGGUGACCGGCCACACUGGGACUGAGACACGGACCAGACUCCAACGGGAGGCAGCAGUGGGGAAUAUUGCACAAUGGGCGAGAGCCUGAUGCAGCAACGCCGCGUGAGGGACGACGGCCUUCGGGUUGUAAACCUCUUUUAGCAGGGAAGAAGCGAAAGUGACGGUACCUGCAGAAAAAGCGCCGGCUAACUACGUG